CCGCGGUAAUACAGAGGGUGCAAGCGUUAAUCGGAAUUACUGGGCGUAAAGCGCGCGUAGGUGGUUUGUUAAGUUGGAUGUGAAAGCCCCGGGCUCAACCUGGGAACUGCAUCCAAAACUGGCAAGCUAGAGUAUGGUAGAGGGUGGUGGAAUUUCCUGUGUAGCGGUGAAAUGCGUAGAUAUAGGAAGGAACACCAGUGGCGAAGGCGACCACCUGGACUGAUACUGACACUGAGGUGCGAAAGCGUGGGGAGCAAACAGGAUUA
This 266-nucleotide ribosomal RNA is filed under the name Pseudomonas protegens. Its description in RNAcentral is "partial 16S ribosomal RNA". It matches the Rfam family "Bacterial small subunit ribosomal RNA", at positions 515 to 780 of the family's 1533-position model. The record is from RNAcentral. Lineage: Bacteria; Pseudomonadati; Pseudomonadota; Gammaproteobacteria; Pseudomonadales; Pseudomonadaceae.